GAGGGCACCACUCAGUGGUAGAGCGUGUGCUUAGCAUGCACAAGAUCCUGGGUUCAAUCCCCAGCACCUUCA
Molecule: transfer RNA, 72 nt
Filed under: Camelus bactrianus (Bactrian camel)
Lineage: Eukaryota; Metazoa; Chordata; Mammalia; Artiodactyla; Camelidae
Also listed under: 1 other name
Rfam family: tRNA
About the family: Transfer RNA (tRNA) molecules are approximately 80 nucleotides in length. Their secondary structure includes four short double-helical elements and three loops (D, anti-codon, and T loops).
Source: Rfam by way of RNAcentral